CAGCAAAAACAGAUGCUUUUGGAGAAAUUGCAGUACCAUGAGUUAGUUCUAAAAAUGUAUAGUUGAUUUGGCUUUACCACGAAUUAGCAUUGGAGUUUUUUGCAGUGCUGCCAUUUACUUUCCACUCAAGGAUUACUCCAGCAGAGGCAACCAUGGUACUGUUGGCGAGAGAAGGACCUGAGCCCUAGGACCAUGCCUCAGGACUACCUGGCAUGAUGACUCCUUGCUGUCCCCAGUCCACCUGGCCGUGCUGCUGCUCCAGUUUCAACUGUUCUGCCUAUGGAACCCUGACCUGUUCACCGGACGUGCUACCUGUCCCAGACCUGCUCUUUUCAACUCUUUAGAGACAGCAGGAGCGGUAGAGAUACUCUCAAAGAUUGGCUAUGAAAAAGCCAACUGACACUUACUCUUGAGUUGCUGACUUGUUGCACCCUUGACAACUACUAUGAUUAUUUGACCAUGCUGGUCAUUUAUGAACAUUUGAACAUCUUGGCCAUGUGCUCUUAUAAUCUCUACCCCGGCACAGCCAGAAGAGGACUGGCCACCCCUCAUAGCCUGGUUCCUCUCUAGGUUUCUUCCUAGGUUUUGGUCUUUCUAGGGAGUUUUUCCUAGCUACCGUGCUUCUACACCUGC
RNAcentral lists this long non-coding RNA (633 nucleotides) under Salmo salar (Atlantic salmon). RNAcentral's name for it is "lncRNA (ENSSSAG00000083669.1)". Lineage: Eukaryota; Metazoa; Chordata; Actinopteri; Salmoniformes; Salmonidae. The record is from RNAcentral.